GAGAAAGCGUUGAUGAGGGGAAGUAAGCGAAGUUUCCGUUCUGCAGAAAGCCGGUGGUUGAUGCGAACCGGUGAAGGAGCUUGUGCCGAAUGGGCCUCGGAGCGCCAGGUUGAACGCAAGAGGCGGCGAGCCUGUUGUCAGUAGGCCGGCCGGGUCAUCCACGUUACGGAUUGGAAAGGCUGAUCUUGUUGAGGCAUCGCGUCUAAGCUGACCGCGAACCCCAAUGCUCCAACCAUCAGCAAAUAAGGGUGGCACCACGGUCUCACGUCCCUUGC
This 275-nucleotide non-coding RNA is filed under the name Paenibacillus sp. RNAcentral's name for it is "T-box sequence". It matches the Rfam family "T-box leader". Rfam says of the family: Uncharged tRNA acts as the effector for transcription antitermination of genes in the T-box leader family. T-boxes are found upstream of many aminoacyl-tRNA synthetase genes and some amino acid biosynthetic genes usually in Gram-positive bacteria. Lineage: Bacteria; Bacillati; Bacillota; Bacilli; Caryophanales; Paenibacillaceae. The record is from RNAcentral.